AAACUGCGAAUGGCUCAUUAUAUAAGUUAUCGUUUAUUUGAUAGUACCUUACUACUUGGAUAACCGUGGUAAUUCUAGAGCUAAUACAUGCUAAAAAUCCCGACUUCGGAAGGGAUGUAUUUAUUAGAUUAAAAACCAAUGCCCUCUGGGCUCUCUGGUGAUUCAUGAUAACUUCUCGAAUCGCAUGGCCUUGCGCCGGCGAUGGUUCAUUCAAAUUUCUUCCCUAUCAACUUUCGAUGUUUGGGUAUUGGCCAAACAUGGUCGCAACGGGUAACGGAGGGUUAGGGCUCGACCCCGGAGAAGGAGCCUGAGAAACGGCUACUACAUCCAAGGAAGGCAGCAGGCGCGCAAAUUACCCAAUCCCGACACGGGGAGGUAGUGACAAUAAAUACUGAUACAGGGCUCUUUCGGGUCUUGUAAUUGGAAUGAGUACAAUUUAAAUCCCUUAACGAGGAACAAUUGGAGGGCAAGUCUGGUGCCAGCAGCCGCGGUAAUUCCAGCUCCAAUAGCGUAUAUUAAAGUUGUUGUGGUUAAAAAGCUCGUAGUUGAACCUUGGGCCUGGCUGGCCGGUCCGCCUCACCGCGUGUACUGGUCCGGCCGGGCCUUUCCCUCUGUGGAACCUCAUGCCCUUCACUGGGCGUGACGGGGAAACAGGACUUUUACUGUGAAAAAAUUAGAGUGCUCCAGGCAGGCCUAUGCUCGAAUACAUUAGCAUGGAAUAAUGAAAUAGGACGUGCGGUUCUAUUUUGUUGGUUUCUAGGACCGCCGUAAUGAUUAAUAGGGACAGUCGGGGGCAUCAGUAUUCAAUUGUCAGAGGUGAAAUUCUUGGAUUUAUUGAAGACUAACUACUGCGAAAGCAUUUGCCAAGGAUGUUUUCAUUAAUCAGGAACGAAAGUUAGGGGAUCGAAGACGAUCAGAUACCGUCGUAGUCUUAACCAUAAACUAUGCCGACUAGGGAUCGGACGAUGUAAAUAAUUGACUCGUUCGGCACCUUACGAGAAAUCA
RNAcentral lists this ribosomal RNA (1005 nucleotides) under Simplicillium lanosoniveum. Its description in RNAcentral is "SSU rRNA". It matches the Rfam family "Eukaryotic small subunit ribosomal RNA", at positions 84 to 1100 of the family's 1831-position model. The record is from RNAcentral. Lineage: Eukaryota; Fungi; Ascomycota; Sordariomycetes; Hypocreales; Cordycipitaceae.